CCGUCGAUAGCUCAGUUGGUAGAGCGGUGGACUGUAGUUUCGAGUAACUGAAGAAAACCAAAGAAAGUUGUUAUACUUACGUGAAAAGAUAUCCAUAGGUCGCUGGUUCAACUCCGGCUCGACGGA
RNAcentral lists this transfer RNA (126 nucleotides) under Daphnia magna. It matches the Rfam family "tRNA". From Rfam's summary of the family: Transfer RNA (tRNA) molecules are approximately 80 nucleotides in length. Their secondary structure includes four short double-helical elements and three loops (D, anti-codon, and T loops). Lineage: Eukaryota; Metazoa; Arthropoda; Branchiopoda; Diplostraca; Daphniidae. The record is from Rfam by way of RNAcentral.